GAUGAACGCUGGCGGCGUGCCUAAUACAUGCAAGUCGAGCGAACAGACGAGGAGCUUGCUCCUCUGACGUUAGCGGCGGACGGGUGAGUAACACGUGGAUAACCUACCUAUAAGACUGGGAUAACUUCGGGAAACCGGAGCUAAUACCAGAUAAUAUAUUGAACCGCAUGGUUCAAUAGUGAAAGACGGUUUUGCUGUCACUUAUAGAUGGAUCCGCGCCGCAUUAGCUAGUUGGUAAGGUAACGGCUUACCAAGGCAACGAUGCGUAGCCGACCUGAGAGGGUGAUCGGCCACACUGGAACUGAGACACGGUCCAGACUCCUACGGGAGGCAGCAGUAGGGAAUCUUCCGCAAUGGGCGAAAGCCUGACGGAGCAACGCCGCGUGAGUGAUGAAGGUCUUCGGAUCGUAAAACUCUGUUAUUAGGGAAGAACAAAUGUGUAAGUAACUAUGCACGUCUUGACGGUACCUAAUCAGAAAGCCCCGGCUAACUACGUG
Molecule: ribosomal RNA, 497 nt
Filed under: uncultured bacterium
Lineage: Bacteria
Description: partial 16S ribosomal RNA
Rfam family: Bacterial small subunit ribosomal RNA
Source: RNAcentral